RNAcentral lists this ribosomal RNA (514 nucleotides) under uncultured bacterium. RNAcentral's name for it is "bacterial SSU rRNA". It matches the Rfam family "Bacterial small subunit ribosomal RNA", at positions 8 to 518 of the family's 1533-position model. The record is from RNAcentral.
AGAGUUGAUCCUGGCUUAGGAUGAACGCUAGCGACAGGCCUAACACAUGCAAGUCGAGGGGCAGCACAAGGAGUAAUCUGAGGUGGCGACCGGCGCACGGGUGAGUAACGCGUAUGCAACCUGCCUUUAAGCGGGGGAUAACCCGGAGAAAUCCGGACUAAUACCGCAUAAUACCUAUUUACUGCAUGGUAAAUAGUUUAAACAUUUAUGGCUUACAGAUGGGCAUGCGUAUGAUUAGCUGGUUGGUGAGGUAACGGCUCACCAAGGCAACGAUCAUUAGGGGUUCUGAGAGGAAGGUCCCCACACUGGUACUGAGACACGGACCAGACUCCUACGGGAGGCAGCAGUGAGGAAUAUUGGUCAAUGGGCGAGAGCCUGAACCAGCCAAGUCGCGUGAAGGAAAGAAGGUUCUAUGGAUUGUAAACUUCUUUUGCAUGGGAAUAAAGUGAGCUACGUGUAGUUUAUUGUAUGUACUGUGCGAAUAAGGAUCGGCUAACUCCGUGCCAGCCGCCGC